RNAcentral lists this ribosomal RNA (909 nucleotides) under Afroraffaelea ambrosiae. RNAcentral's name for it is "SSU rRNA". It matches the Rfam family "Eukaryotic small subunit ribosomal RNA", at positions 146 to 1062 of the family's 1831-position model. The record is from RNAcentral. Lineage: Eukaryota; Fungi; Ascomycota; Sordariomycetes; Ophiostomatales; Ophiostomataceae.
ACCGUGGUAAUUCUAGAGCUAAUACAUGCUGAAAACCCCGACUUCGGAAAGGGGCGUAUUUAUUAGAUUCAAAGCCAAUGCCCCUCGGGGCUCCCUGGUGAUUCAGAAUAACUUCUCGAAUCGCACGGCCCUUGCGCCGGCGAUGGUUCAUUCAAAUUUCUGCCCUAUCAACUUUCGACGGCUGGGUCUUGGCCAGCCGUGGUUGCAACGGGUAACGGAGGGUUAGGGCUCGACCCCGGAGAAGGAGCCUGAGAGACGGCUACUACAUCCAAGGAAGGCAGCAGGCGCGCAAAUUACCCAAUCCCGACGCGGGGAGGUAGUGACAAUAAAUACUGAUACAGGGCUCUUUUGGGUCUUGUAAUUGGAAUGAGUACAAUUUAAAUCCCUUAACGAGGAACAAUUGGAGGGCAAGUCUGGUGCCAGCAGCCGCGGUAAUUCCAGCUCCAAUAGCGUAUAUUAAAGUUGUUGCAGUUAAAAAGCUCGUAGUUGAACCUCGGGCCUGGCUGGCCGGUCCGCCUCACCGCGUGCACUGGUCCGGCCGGGCCCUUCCCGCUGGGGAGCCGCAUGCCCUUCGCUGGGCGUGUUGGGGAACCAGGACCUUUACUUUGAAAAAAUUAGAGUGUUCAAAGCAGGCCUACGCUCGGAUACAUUAGCAUGGAAUAAUAGAAUAGGACGUGCGGUUCUAUUUUGUUGGUUUCUAGGACCGCCGUAAUGAUUAAUAGGGACAGUCGGGGGCAUCAGUAUUCCCUAGUCAGAGGUGAAAUUCUUGGAUCUAGGGAAGACUAACUACUGCGAAAGCAUUUGCCAAGGAUGUUUUCAUUAAUCAGGAACGAAAGUUAGGGGAUCGAAGACGAUCAGAUACCGUCGUAGUCUUAACCAUAAACUAUGCCGACUAGGGAUCGGACGGUG